AAAUGAGGUGGGAGAAACAGGAGACCCGGGCAGUUCAAGCCGGGCAGUCUGCCCGAUGAUAUCGGUUCCUUGGUCUCCUUUGUUAAUAUCCUUCUCGAUAACAUAUUUUUCGCCGCUACUUUGUGAACACUCGUAUUAUGUGAUUUUAUUUUUAUUUUUGUUUCAUUUUUUUAAAAUAUAAAUUUGUGAUUUUUAUUGAUCUAGACUUUGCAGUAUUUGCUUUCUGUUUAUUAUUUUUAAUUGGAUUUUUCGGCGGCGACGUAACAGACUGGACGUGAGAAGAAAACCGAGAGGAGAAUAAAAGAAGCUGGUUAAAAUAUUACGUAAGACACGGAAGUGAUGCUUACGAGGACCCAGCUCACGCGGUCACAUUUAGGAGCACCAGACGUGACCCAAAAUCCUGAGCAGGAAAAUCACCAAAGUACGGCAUUAGGACUGUGUCGUUAGGUCACAAGGAGUCCGGAUAUAAAAGUGAAAAAAAAAGAAAGGAUAAAAUAAAAAAAACAGUAAGCAGCCGAGAAUAAAUUGUUGGAGCAGGAGCAGUAUCUAGCUCGCCGGCAUUUAUGAUCGUCUUCGGGCUUCAACGGGACGUCAGAGCGUCGUCCUGGUGGCCGCUUUUUAUUGAUACGUCUUGAGGUUUUUUCUUAACCGCCACCCGGCAUUAGCUCCCGUCGAACUAGACACCCAAAUUCAAUACUUUGAGGCUUUACUUUACUUUAAAUUUCAUUCCGUGUCAGUUUUGAAGAUAAUUCGUGGGACUUUACUUCCAAAUUCAAAAUGUUGCCGACAAACGUUAUGUCUUUUAUGAAGAAGAUGGUGACGACGCAGCCGGAAUCAAAUGUAGAAACAGUGACACCCGAAGACACUGGAACAACUUUCAGCAAACUAAGACAGUUGAUGACGGUAACGGGUAAUGUGGCAAAAGGUACGCCGGCUAAAAUUACACCCGUAGAAGAUCUAGUACCAAAAGAAGGAGCACCAAUUAUCGAGCCAAUAAAACCAAAAUCAGAACCAGGACGACCAGCAAGCAGAACGGGAAACUCUUGCAGAGUUUGCCUCAAGGCCUUCAAACCCGAUGAUUUCUCACGUACCUGUUAUGAAUGUCACCUCAAGGUUUGCGAUGAUUGCGCCUCUUAUUCAGAAACAAAAGACUUAGAUGAUCCAUCAACGUGGCGGUGUAGCAUUUGUCGGCGUAAAAUAGCGUCACGUGGACAACCAAUUGUAACCCAAGAAUCAACAGACUCAUUACUAGAAGUGCCAGUACUCGAAGCAUUACAAAGACGACACAGCGAUGCAAGGCUAAGUUGUCAAAGCGGCGGUCCAGCGGCAACUCUUGGCAGUGGUUUGGCGCCACCGCGGAGCCCGGAGCUGAGAAGACACUCAGAUGUGUCCCCCGCGAGCCUCAAAGAGCUCGAAAAGUUUCGAAAGGUUGCAGGAGAACGCCGCGAGGAGCUCAGAUGGGAGCGUGAGCUCGAGUGGAGAAGUAAAUCCCGCAGUGGGUCACCUGAAAGGCAUUCCAAUGAUCGUGGGCGACCUACUAGUCCAUCGAGAACUGCUAAAACUCCUUCUAUUGAGCAAGAGGGAGACAUUGGGGAGGAUGAAGAUGAAAGACGAAGACGCGCGGUCCGCAGAAGUGGCGGUACAGUUAGACGAAAAUCCCGGGUAACAAGACAGCACUCGUACGACGAUGAAAUUAAAUCAGGCGGAACCCUGGGCAGCGCUGGAGGAGGAGGAGGAGGAGGAGGAGGUGGGGGAGGAGGCGGCGGGGGUGGUCAAACGGGCCAUAAUGAACCCGGGCUGGGUCUUCCGGUCCAGUUGCCACGUAGAGCGUCGGCUUACGAUGUGUACGCGACACCCGGAAGCGGAGGCCUCAACGCCAUGGCAAUCGCCGCUGCUCAGCAGCGAGCCUCUAUUUCUGCACAAGGUGCUCGAGAACCCGAUGAACGACCGCUAGGGAGAAGACAGUCAUUCCGCGUCGUAAAACCGAUGCCGUAUGAAAUGAAUAAUGACGAAGAGAAAAUAAUAAAUUUGGACAACACUAAUGCAUCAGAUUCCCAAGUCCUGCAGCCAGAUGAACAGCCGAGACCUAUGAGACGAAGAGCUUCUAUGCUGCCUGACAUAAACAUGAUAAGAUCACUUCCAUCAGUCCCGGGUUCAGUGAAAGGAAACCCAGCAUCAGUAGCUCGAGUCGCCGCGCAGGAUGACCGAGAACUACCGCGACAAGGGAGUUUAGCGGACGGAGAAGGCAUAAAAAUCGUGAUCCACGACGUCGACAGUGAUCUCGCUCCCAGGAUGAAUACAAAACGCAGGAUUGUUCUCAGAAGGGAUCCGCUUCUCAUGGACAAAGGACACAGAUCUCGAGGGUUCGGUAUGCGUGUUAUCGGAGGUAAAAAUGCCAGUGACGGGCGUUUGUAUGCCUCAAUAGUGUGGACGGUACCUGGGGGACCAGCAGACAAGGCAGGUCUUCAGACAGGUGACAAGGUACUCGAAUGGUCAGGAGUGUCUCUCAUCGAUCGAAACUUCGAGGAUGUGGCACAGAUAAUUGAACGCUCGAGUGAUGUUGCUGAACUUGUUGUUGAGCAUGUAGGAGAUAUGGGCAUCGAUUCGCUGGACGAGCCCGGUAUGCCGCCGCCAUCAUCUAAAACAUCUGGAAACUUAGGUCUUCAGUUAGACUCGGAAACGGAUAAAACGCCUUCGUCACCGACCCGCAGGAAACUGCCAAAGACGCCGGAAAAAAUACCAAAAGAUCGACCAGUAAGUGGUCGUGUACAGAUUCACGUGUGGUACGAAACAGACAGGAAAGAGCUGGUAGUGUCAGUUUUGGCAGCUGAUGAGCUUUGUGUUCGAGACGAUGGUACGCCACCGGAAGCUGUCGCCAAACUCGUUCUCAUUCCAGCCUGCGUCGAUCAGAGCUCUCUGCAAACAGACGUCGCUGGUCCGACGCAAAAUCCUAUUUGGAACGCAAAUCUGACGUUUACCGGGAUCGCUGGUGAGAAGCUAAUGGACAAAACGAUCGAUGUUACCCUCUGGGACUGCCAUCCUGAUGGUGAUAAUAUUUUCCUCGGGGAGUGUUCUGUUGAGUUGCAGAACGCUUUUGAGGCUGAUCGGGAAGCUUGGUAUCGAUUGGAAGACCCUCGGGGAAUCCGCUCAGGGAAAUCUCCUUACGCUUCACCGCGUGGCUCGCUGUCAAUGGAAGUAGCGUUAGCGCAGAGGUUACUUAGACGAGAGAUUCGAGAGCGAAGUUACAGCGAAGACACUCAAAGCGAUAGUGGGAGUCCGGAGCCUUAUUUCCUGCACCCAGACCACGCUUGGCAGGCAAACUCUCGACGCGGUUCCUCACAAUCUGAACAAUUAGAAGUUGAGACUUAUGAACUUAGCAAGGAUUACAGCAGAUCGCUUCCCGGAAGCAGAAGGAGCAGCUUUCAAAGUCAAGGCGGUACUGAUAGCAAACGUGGAAGCAUAGUCGACACUGAAAUGCCAAGUGGUUAUUACAACCGCGACCGGCGACGCAGCUCCGUAGCAAGGUCAGCCCGUGAUCCAGAAGAAGUGUUGCGAUCCUUGAAAAAAGCUGCUGCCAAGGGCGAGCUCGGCAGAACAAUGAGUCUAUCCAGUGACAAAAGACGCGGAAGCCUGCGAGCCUGUGUCUCCGAGGACCGGUAAUUCGGCCUCCUUCUCACUACCGCACGCCACACCACCCCGAUAAUUAUCGCAAGGCAUUGUCGUCCAACGAAUUACGACACCGGGCGAGACGAGCGCAAAGACAGCAUUGGAGGAGUACGUGGCGAAAAACGUGACAGCAUAGGACAAACAAUGAUGGCAUUUUCCGAGCGAUUUU
This 3835-nucleotide unclassified non-coding RNA is filed under the name Cotesia glomerata. RNAcentral's name for it is "regulating synaptic membrane exocytosis protein 2, transcript variant X1". Lineage: Eukaryota; Metazoa; Arthropoda; Insecta; Hymenoptera; Braconidae. The record is from RNAcentral.